Molecule: ribosomal RNA, 497 nt
Filed under: uncultured bacterium
Lineage: Bacteria
Description: partial 16S ribosomal RNA
Rfam family: Bacterial small subunit ribosomal RNA
Source: RNAcentral
GACGAACGCUGGCGGCGUGCCUAAUACAUGCAAGUAGAACGCUGAAGAGAGGAGCUUACUCUUCUUGGAUGAGUUGCGAACGGGUGAGUAACGCGUAGGUAACCUGCCUUGUAGCGGGGGAUAACUAUUGGAAACGAUAGCUAAUACCGCAUAACAAUGGAUGACACAUGUCAUUUAUUUGAAAGGGGCAAUUGCUCCACUACAAGAUGGACCUGCGUUGUAUUAGCUAGUAGGUGAGGUAAUGGCUCACCUAGGCGACGAUACAUAGCCGACCUGAGAGGGUGAUCGGCCACACUGGGACUGAGACACGGCCCAGACUCCUACGGGAGGCAGCAGUAGGGAAUCUUCGGCAAUGGGGGCAACCCUGACCGAGCAACGCCGCGUGAGUGAAGAAGGUUUUCGGAUCGUAAAGCUCUGUUGUAAGUCAAGAACGGGUGUGAGAGUGGAAAGUUCACACUGUGACGGUAGCUUACCAGAAAGGGAGGGCUAACUACGUG